CAGGGGAAAGGUGCAUCAGUUAUACUCUGGCUGCCAGCAGGAACAGUGAUUAAGGUUCUGUUGCUUCUCUCCCCAUUUAGAAAGCAUGAAAGCUCUGCUGUGUGUGGGACUGAGUCUUACAAGAUGUGUUCAUAUCUCUCCUUCUCUACUACGAUUCCAAGCCCCUAAAUUUCUCUUUCUACAGUUGGCAUCUUAUGCUGUCCCCUGUCAGCACAAUGUGACAAAGUAGGCAUCCCAGGCCAACCCUGAGGACUGAGUCUCUUCCUCAUACCUGUGUCUUCUCCCUGUCUCACCUGUACCACAUUGGGCUCUGGGACUCCUUCAUCCCUUAUGGAACCUUACUUAGGUUUCUAUGUGCAGCUUCUUCCCUAUUGAAAAAUAAGGAUGUAGAUAUAGUUUUAUUUUUUAUUUUUUACCUUUUGGAUAAAAGCUGUUCUUCAUGUUGUUAAAAGCAGAUUUGUAAAUUUGAAAGGAAAUAAAACAUGAUAACUCACAAA
Mastomys coucha (southern multimammate mouse) is the source of this 497-nucleotide long non-coding RNA. RefSeq lists it as uncharacterized. The record is from RefSeq and is a predicted model, not a curated record. NCBI's taxonomy places the organism in Eukaryota, Metazoa, Chordata, Mammalia, Rodentia, Muridae. The transcript has 3 exons.